RNAcentral lists this ribosomal RNA (253 nucleotides) under uncultured bacterium. Its description in RNAcentral is "partial 16S ribosomal RNA". It matches the Rfam family "Bacterial small subunit ribosomal RNA", at positions 524 to 776 of the family's 1533-position model. The record is from RNAcentral.
UACAGAGGUCCCAAGCGUUGUUCGGAUUUACUGGGCGUAAAGGGUGCGUAGGUGGUGAGGUAAGUCUGAUGUGAAAUCUCCGAGCUCAACUCGGAAAUGGCAUUGGAAACUACCCUGCUAGAGGAUUGGAGGGGGGACUGGAAUACUUGGUGUAGCAGUGAAAUGCGUAGAUAUCAAGUGGAACACCAGUGGCGAAGGCGAGUCCCUGGACAACUCCUGACACUGAGGCACGAAAGCUAGGGGAGCAAACAGG